RNAcentral lists this ribosomal RNA (249 nucleotides) under uncultured Desulfosporosinus sp. Its description in RNAcentral is "partial 16S ribosomal RNA". It matches the Rfam family "Bacterial small subunit ribosomal RNA", at positions 796 to 1041 of the family's 1533-position model. The record is from RNAcentral. Lineage: Bacteria; Bacillati; Bacillota; Clostridia; Eubacteriales; Desulfitobacteriaceae.
CACGCCGUAAACGAUGAGUGCUAGGUGUAGAGGGUAUCGACCCCUUCUGUGCCGCAGUUAACACAAUAAGCACUCCGCCUGGGGAGUACGGCCGCAAGGUUGAAACUCAAAGGAAUUGACGGGGGCCCGCACAAGCGGUGGAGCAUGUGGUUUAAUUCGACGCAACGCGAAGAACCUUACCAGGGCUUGACAUCCUCUGAAUCUCUUGGAAACAAGGGAGUGCCCUUCGGGGAGCAGAGAGACAGGUGG